AUUGAACGCUGGCGGCGUGCCUUACACAUGCAAGUCGAACGGUAACGCGGGGCAACCUGGCGACGAGUGGCGAACGGGUGAGUAAUAUAUCGGAACGUGCCCAGUCGUGGGGGAUAACGUAGAGAAAUUUACGCUAAUACCGCACACGAUCUAUGGAUGAAAGCGGGGGAUCGCAAGACCUUGCGCGAUUGGAGCGGCUGAUAUCAGAUUAGGUUGGUGGUGGGGUAAAAGCCCGCCAAGCCGACGAUCUGUAGCUGGUUUGAGAGAACGACCAGCCACACUGGGACUGAGACACGGCCCAGACUCCUACGGGAGGCAGCAGUGGGGAAUUUUGGACAAUGGGCGCAAGCCUGAUCCAGCAAUGCCGCGUGCAGGAAGAAGGCCUUCGGGUUGUAAACUGCUUUUGUACGGAACGAAACAGCUCUUUCUAAUAAAGAGGGCUAAUAACGGUACCGUAAGAAUAAGCACCGGCUAACUACGUGCCAGCAGCCGCCGCAG
Molecule: ribosomal RNA, 498 nt
Filed under: uncultured bacterium
Lineage: Bacteria
Description: partial 16S ribosomal RNA
Rfam family: Bacterial small subunit ribosomal RNA
Source: RNAcentral